AGAAAAUCAAAACCUAAA
RNAcentral lists this microRNA (18 nucleotides) under Hippoglossus hippoglossus (Atlantic halibut). RNAcentral's name for it is "hhi-miR-737". Its record names the gene hhi-miR-737. The record is from miRBase by way of RNAcentral. Lineage: Eukaryota; Metazoa; Chordata; Actinopteri; Pleuronectiformes; Pleuronectidae.